UACACACCGCCCGUCACACCAUGGGAGUUGGCUUUACCUGAAGGCGUUGCGCUAACCCGCAAGGGAGGCAGGCGACCACGGUAGGGUCAGCCGACUGGGGUG
This 102-nucleotide ribosomal RNA is filed under the name uncultured bacterium. Its description in RNAcentral is "partial 16S ribosomal RNA". It matches the Rfam family "Bacterial small subunit ribosomal RNA", at positions 1384 to 1482 of the family's 1533-position model. The record is from RNAcentral.